CCCCGGCACAGCACCCUGAGGAGGUGGAGCAGUUCAGCCCCUGCAGGAGGAUCCAGGACGGGACCGGACACAAGAACAGGACCGUGCCUGUGGCCGCUUCCGCAGGGCAGCACAGAGGGUGCGGAAAUCCAAGCCCGUUCGGCGUAGAAAGGCCAGGACCCUCACCAUCCAAGGUCACGGGCGCAGCCUGAGCCCAUCCCAACCGAGCUCAAGGCCAAGGCUGACAGU
This is a long non-coding RNA of Chiroxiphia lanceolata (lance-tailed manakin), 228 nucleotides long. RefSeq lists it as uncharacterized. The record is from RefSeq and is a predicted model, not a curated record. NCBI's taxonomy places the organism in Eukaryota, Metazoa, Chordata, Aves, Passeriformes, Pipridae. The transcript is spliced from 3 exons.